RNAcentral lists this long non-coding RNA (1014 nucleotides) under Delphinapterus leucas (beluga whale). RNAcentral describes it as "lncRNA (ENSDLEG00000019818.1)". Lineage: Eukaryota; Metazoa; Chordata; Mammalia; Artiodactyla; Monodontidae. The record is from RNAcentral.
GGCCGGGGGGCAGAGGGAGGGGCCCCCGUGUGCCAGGGGCGGGGAGACCGGGGCGGGAAGGCCGCCAGGGCGCUGAGGCCGCAGAGAGCGGAGGUGGCAGCGGGCGGCCCGUCCCUUCCAGGCGGAGCUCUGGCCCUGGGCCCCCUCCCCUUCCGCGGCUUCCCCUCCCCGCCCCACGGUGCUGCAGCGUGUGCGCUCCCUGCGCGCAGGCCACACCCGGGCGUCCUGCGGCCUAGGGCGCAAGUUGACGAACCGUGCCCGGAACCUUCUGGGAAGCCCGACCCGGCGUGGACGGUCCCGAGUGCGAGUGCCUGGGCCCGGGUGCCCUGCGCACAGCGGCGGAGAGCGAGUCCGGGCGAGGAUUCGGACACAGACUGCGCGUGCCUGAGUGCCGGCGGCGGCUCCUCCAGCUCCGCAAGUAGGUGCAAUCCACGCUUUGCAGAACAGGGGGCCCGCGGGGUCUCCCUUGCCCGGGCUCGAGGCCUCGCUGCAGAAGUCCUGGCCCUUCCGUCUCGAAGCCCUCGGCCAGACUUAGACUUCCUCCUCCCGGAGACCGGGAGCCGGCGCCCGCGAGGCGCCCGCCGCUCUGCAGGGGUCUUGCGCUCUGCCUUCCGCCCUGUCCGCCCUCUCGUGGAUUUCCGAGGCCCGGCCGCGCGGGUUUCGGGCUCUGGACUCGCCGCCGCCCCGCUGGACACCCCGAGCCCGCCCUUCGCUCCCGCACGGCGCGCGCGGAGCCGGGGCCCGGCCGGCCCCCACCUCCACCCCGCCUCAGCCCCUCUGACCUGCCGAGGGCCCAGGCAUAGGAUGAGGGGGGGCGAGGUGAGGCUGGGGAGAGCCCAGUCAGUUGGGGGAGACCCCAGAAAAGACUUAGUGGAGCAAAAUUUAACCGAGGAGCCCCUGGGUUUCUGGGCCGCUGGUUGGUCCCCCAUCAUUUGGUGUUUGGGGCUUGUGCAUCAGGGCUGGGGAAAGCGGCGAGGAGUUAUAAUAACAUAUUUUACUGAAGUUUGUCCAUGA